RNAcentral lists this ribosomal RNA (2896 nucleotides) under Escherichia coli. Its description in RNAcentral is "partial 23S ribosomal RNA". It matches the Rfam family "Bacterial large subunit ribosomal RNA". The record is from RNAcentral. Lineage: Bacteria; Pseudomonadati; Pseudomonadota; Gammaproteobacteria; Enterobacterales; Enterobacteriaceae.
GUUAAGCGACUAAGCGUACACGGUGGAUGCCCUGGCAGUCAGAGGCGAUGAAGGACGUGCUAAUCUGCGAUAAGCGUCGGUAAGGUGAUAUGAACCGUUAUAACCGGCGAUUUCCGAAUGGGGAAACCCAGUGUGUUUCGACACACUAUCAUUAACUGAAUCCAUAGGUUAAUGAGGCGAACCGGGGGAACUGAAACAUCUAAGUACCCCGAGGAAAAGAAAUCAACCGAGAUUCCCCCAGUAGCGGCGAGCGAACGGGGAGCAGCCCAGAGCCUGAAUCAGUGUGUGUGUUAGUGGAAGCGUCUGGAAAGGCGCGCGAUACAGGGUGACAGCCCCGUACACAAAAAUGCACAUGCUGUGAGCUCGAUGAGUAGGGCGGGACACGUGGUAUCCUGUCUGAAUAUGGGGGGACCAUCCUCCAAGGCUAAAUACUCCUGACUGACCGAUAGUGAACCAGUACCGUGAGGGAAAGGCGAAAAGAACCCCGGCGAGGGGAGUGAAAAAGAACCUGAAACCGUGUACGUACAAGCAGUGGGAGCACGCUUAGGCGUGUGACUGCGUACCUUUUGUAUAAUGGGUCAGCGACUUAUAUUCUGUAGCAAGGUUAACCGAAUAGGGGAGCCGAAGGGAAACCGAGUCUUAACUGGGCGUUAAGUUGCAGGGUAUAGACCCGAAACCCGGUGAUCUAGCCAUGGGCAGGUUGAAGGUUGGGUAACACUAACUGGAGGACCGAACCGACUAAUGUUGAAAAAUUAGCGGAUGACUUGUGGCUGGGGGUGAAAGGCCAAUCAAACCGGGAGAUAGCUGGUUCUCCCCGAAAGCUAUUUAGGUAGCGCCUCGUGAAUUCAUCUCCGGGGGUAGAGCACUGUUUCGGCAAGGGGGUCAUCCCGACUUACCAACCCGAUGCAAACUGCGAAUACCGGAGAAUGUUAUCACGGGAGACACACGGCGGGUGCUAACGUCCGUCGUGAAGAGGGAAACAACCCAGACCGCCAGCUAAGGUCCCAAAGUCAUGGUUAAGUGGGAAACGAUGUGGGAAGGCCCAGACAGCCAGGAUGUUGGCUUAGAAGCAGCCAUCAUUUAAAGAAAGCGUAAUAGCUCACUGGUCGAGUCGGCCUGCGCGGAAGAUGUAACGGGGCUAAACCAUGCACCGAAGCUGCGGCAGCGACGCUUAUGCGUUGUUGGGUAGGGGAGCGUUCUGUAAGCCUGUGAAGGUGUGCUGUGAGGCAUGCUGGAGGUAUCAGAAGUGCGAAUGCUGACAUAAGUAACGAUAAAGCGGGUGAAAAGCCCGCUCGCCGGAAGACCAAGGGUUCCUGUCCAACGUUAAUCGGGGCAGGGUGAGUCGACCCCUAAGGCGAGGCCGAAAGGCGUAGUCGAUGGGAAACAGGUUAAUAUUCCUGUACUUGGUGUUACUGCGAAGGGGGGACGGAGAAGGCUAUGUUGGCCGGGCGACGGUUGUCCCGGUUUAAGCGUGUAGGCUGGUUUUCCAGGCAAAUCCGGAAAAUCAAGGCUGAGGCGUGAUGACGAGGCACUACGGUGCUGAAGCAACAAAUGCCCUGCUUCCAGGAAAAGCCUCUAAGCAUCAGGUAACAUCAAAUCGUACCCCAAACCGACACAGGUGGUCAGGUAGAGAAUACCAAGGCGCUUGAGAGAACUCGGGUGAAGGAACUAGGCAAAAUGGUGCCGUAACUUCGGGAGAAGGCACGCUGAUAUGUAGGUGAAGUCCCUCGCGGAUGGAGCUGAAAUCAGUCGAAGAUACCAGCUGGCUGCAACUGUUUAUUAAAAACACAGCACUGUGCAAACACGAAAGUGGACGUAUACGGUGUGACGCCUGCCCGGUGCCGGAAGGUUAAUUGAUGGGGUUAGCGGUAACGCGAAGCUCUUGAUCGAAGCCCCGGUAAACGGCGGCCGUAACUAUAACGGUCCUAAGGUAGCGAAAUUCCUUGUCGGGUAAGUUCCGACCUGCACGAAUGGCGUAAUGAUGGCCAGGCUGUCUCCACCCGAGACUCAGUGAAAUUGAACUCGCUGUGAAGAUGCAGUGUACCCGCGGCAAGACGGAAAGACCCCGUGAACCUUUACUAUAGCUUGACACUGAACAUUGAGCCUUGAUGUGUAGGAUAGGUGGGAGGCUUAGAAGUGUGGACGCCAGUCUGCAUGGAGCCGACCUUGAAAUACCACCCUUUAAUGUUUGAUGUUCUAACGUUGACCCGUAAUCCGGGUUGCGGACAGUGUCUGGUGGGUAGUUUGACUGGGGCGGUCUCCUCCUAAAGAGUAACGGAGGAGCACGAAGGUUGGCUAAUCCUGGUCGGACAUCAGGAGGUUAGUGCAAUGGCAUAAGCCAGCUUGACUGCGAGCGUGACGGCGCGAGCAGGUGCGAAAGCAGGUCAUAGUGAUCCGGUGGUUCUGAAUGGAAGGGCCAUCGCUCAACGGAUAAAAGGUACUCCGGGGAUAACAGGCUGAUACCGCCCAAGAGUUCAUAUCGACGGCGGUGUUUGGCACCUCGAUGUCGGCUCAUCACAUCCUGGGGCUGAAGUAGGUCCCAAGGGUAUGGCUGUUCGCCAUUUAAAGUGGUACGCGAGCUGGGUUUAGAACGUCGUGAGACAGUUCGGUCCCUAUCUGCCGUGGGCGCUGGAGAACUGAGGGGGGCUGCUCCUAGUACGAGAGGACCGGAGUGGACGCAUCACUGGUGUUCGGGUUGUCAUGCCAAUGGCACUGCCCGGUAGCUAAAUGCGGAAGAGAUAAGUGCUGAAAGCAUCUAAGCACGAAACUUGCCCCGAGAUGAGUUCUCCCUGACUCCUUGAGAGUCCUGAAGGAACGUUGAAGACGACGACGUUGAUAGGCCGGGUGUGUAAGCGCAGCGAUGCGUUGAGCUAACCGGUACUAAUGAACCGUGAGG